CAGCUCCAAUAGCGUAUAUUAAAGUUGUUGCAGUUAAAAAGCUCGUAGUUGGAUCUAUUGGGGUCACGGCGGGGGCAAGCCUGCCCGCUUUGACCUCACUGUUCGGUCUCAUCUUGGUGCCCUUGACUGGGUGUCUCCAGUGGCCGGAACGUUUACUUUGAAAAAAUUAGAGUGUUCAAAGCAGGCAUCGCGCCUGAAUAAUGUUGCAUGGAAUAAUGGAAUAGGACCUCGGUUCUAUUUUGUUGGUUUUCGGAAGUCGAGGUAAUGAUUAAGAGGGACAGACGGGGGCAUUCGUAUUACGGUGUUAGAGGUGAAAUUCUUGGAUCGCCGUAAGACGAACUACUGCGAAAGCAUUUGCCAAGAAUGUUUUCAUUAAUCAAGAACGAAAGUCAGAGGUUCGAAGACGAUCAGAUACCGUCGUAGUUCUGACCAUAAACGAUGCCAACUAGCGAUCCGCCGACGUUGUCUCAAUGACUCGGUGGGCAGCUUCCGGGAAACCAAAGUCUAUGGGUUCCGGGGGAAGUAUGGUUGCAAAGCUGAAACUUAAAGGAAUUGACGGAAGGGCAACACCAGGAGUGGAGCCUGCGGCUUAAUUUGACUCAACACGGGAACACUCUCCCGGCCCGGACACCAUUAGGAUUGACAGAUUAGCUACGCGAGAUUGAGCAAUAACAGAACAGGUCUGUGAUGCCCUUAGAUGUUCGGGGCCGCACGCGCGCUACACUGAAGGAAUCAACGUGUGUCUUCCCAUGUCCGGAAGGAUCGGACAACCCGUUGAACCUCCUUCGUGCUAGGGAUUGGGGCUUGUAAUUCUUCCCCAUGAACGAGGAAUUCCCAGUAAGCGCGAGUCAUAAGCUCGCGUUGAUUACGUCCCUGCCCUUU
This 882-nucleotide ribosomal RNA is filed under the name uncultured organism. RNAcentral describes it as "SSU rRNA". It matches the Rfam family "Eukaryotic small subunit ribosomal RNA", at positions 586 to 1661 of the family's 1831-position model. The record is from RNAcentral.